UUUUUCAUCAUGUUUUUCUUCUGUCUUCCCUUCAUCUAUUACGUCGGGAAUGACUAACUCCGUCGUCUAAAAAUCACAAAGUUUUAAAAUAACGACGUUUAAUGGCGUGUAAAACAAGUAAACUAAAUACGACGUGGUAUUGAAAUACAAACGAUGGUUUAUGUUUAAAAUCGUCGUGGUAUGUAUUUCAAACGACGGUUUUAUUAAUAAUAACGACGUCUAAUGGUUUUUAAAAAAACAGAGAAUUCAAAGUUCAGAUAUGUUACCUUUUCU
This 273-nucleotide long non-coding RNA is filed under the name Prunus persica (peach). Its description in RNAcentral is "long non-coding RNA (PPER_LNC000271)". The record is from RNAcentral. Lineage: Eukaryota; Viridiplantae; Streptophyta; Magnoliopsida; Rosales; Rosaceae.